GGCUCAGGACGAACGCUGGCGGCGUGCUUAACACAUGCAAGUCGAACGCUGAAGCACCAGCUUGCUGGUGUGGAUGAGUGGCGAACGGGUGAGUAAUACGUGAGUAACCUGCCCUUGACUCUGGGAUAAGCCCGGGAAACUGGGUCUAAUACUGGAUGCUACAUGUCACCGCAUGGUGGUGUGUGGAAAGGGUUUACUGGUCUUGGAUGGGCUCACGGCCUAUCAGCUUGUUGGUGAGGUAAUGGCUCACCAAGGCGACGACGGGUAGCCGGCCUGAGAGGGUGACCGGCCACACUGGGACUGAGACACGGCCCAGACUCCUACGGGAGGCAGCAGUGGGGAAUAUUGCACAAUGGGCGAAAGCCUGAUGCAGCGACGCCGCGUGAGGGAUGACGGCCUUCGGGUUGUAAACCUCUUUCAGCAGGGAAGAAGCCACAAGUGACGGUACCUGCAGAAGAAGCGCCGGCUAACUACGUGCCAGCAGCCGCGGUAAUACGUAGGGCGCAAGCGUUGUCCGGAAUUAUUGGGCGUAAAGAGCUCGUAGGCGGUUUGUCGCGUCUGCUGUGAAAGCCCGGGGCUUAACCCCGGGUGUGCAGUGGGUACGGGCAGACUAGAGUGCAGUAGGGGAGACUGGAAUUCCUGGUGUAGCGGUGGAAUGCGCAGAUAUCAGGAGGAACACCGAUGGCGAAGGCAGGUCUCUGGGC
This 704-nucleotide ribosomal RNA is filed under the name Kocuria sp. Eur1 9.43. RNAcentral's name for it is "bacterial SSU rRNA". It matches the Rfam family "Bacterial small subunit ribosomal RNA", at positions 21 to 734 of the family's 1533-position model. The record is from RNAcentral. Lineage: Bacteria; Bacillati; Actinomycetota; Actinomycetes; Micrococcales; Micrococcaceae.